UACGUAGGGGGCGAGCGUUAUCCAGAUUUACUGGGCGUAAAGCGCACGUAGGCGGCAUUGCAAGUCGGAUGUGAAAUCUUAUGGCUUAACCAUAAAAGUGCAUCCGAAACUGCAGUGCUUGAGUACUUAAGAGGAUCGCGGAAUUCCCGGUGUAGAGGUGAAAUUCGUAGAUAUCGGGAGGAACACCAGUGGCGAAGGCGGCGAUCUGGGAAGAUACUGACGCUGAGGUGCGAAAGCGUGGGGAGCAAACAGG
Molecule: ribosomal RNA, 253 nt
Filed under: uncultured bacterium
Lineage: Bacteria
Description: partial 16S ribosomal RNA
Rfam family: Bacterial small subunit ribosomal RNA
Source: RNAcentral